This 466-nucleotide ribosomal RNA is filed under the name uncultured bacterium. Its description in RNAcentral is "partial 16S ribosomal RNA". It matches the Rfam family "Bacterial small subunit ribosomal RNA", at positions 28 to 507 of the family's 1533-position model. The record is from RNAcentral.
GAUGAACGCUGGCGGCGUGCUUAACACAUGCAAGUCGAACGAUGAAGCCCAGCUUGCUGGGUGGAUUAGUGGCGAACGGGUGAGUAACACGUGAGUAACCUGCCCUUAACUCUGGGAUACGCCUGGGAAACUGGGUCUAUUACCGGUUAGGAGCGUCCACCGCAUGGUGGGUGUUGGAAAGAUUUAUCGGUUUUGGAUGGACUCGCGGCCUAUCAGCUUGUUGGUGAGGUACUGGCUCACCAAGGCGACGCCGGGUAGCCGGCCUGAGAGGGUGACCGGCCACACGGGGACUGAGACACGGCCCAGACUCCUACGGGAGGCAGCAGUGGGGAAUAUUGCACAAUGGGCGCAAGCCUGAUGCAGCGACGCCGCGUGAGGGAUGACGGCCUUCGGGUUGUAAACCUCUUUCAGUAGGGAAGAAGCGAAAGUGACGGUACCUGCAGAAGAAGCACCGGCUAACUACGUG